This 552-nucleotide ribosomal RNA is filed under the name uncultured bacterium. RNAcentral describes it as "partial 16S ribosomal RNA". It matches the Rfam family "Bacterial small subunit ribosomal RNA", at positions 355 to 932 of the family's 1533-position model. The record is from RNAcentral.
UGGGGAAUCUUGCGCAAUGGGCGAAAGCCUGACGCAGCCAUGCCGCGUGAGUGAUGAAGGCCUUAGGGUUGUAAAACUCUUUCACCGGGGACGAUAAUGACGGUACCCGGAGAAGAAGCCCCGGCUAACUUCGUGCCAGCAGCCGCGGUAAUACGAAGGGGGCUAGCGUUGCUCGGAAUUACUGGGCGUAAAGGGCGCGUAGGCGGAUCAGCAAGUUGGGGGUGAAAGCCCGGGGCUCAACCUCGGAAUUGCCUUCAAAACUGCUGAUCUAGAGUACGGGAGAGGUGUGUGGAACUCCGAGUGUAGAGGUGAAAUUCGUAGAUAUUCGGAAGAACACCAGUGGCGAAGGCGACACACUGGCCCGUUACUGACGCUGAGGCGCGAAAGCGUGGGGAGCAAACAGGAUUAGAUACCCUGGUAGUCCACGCUGUAAACGAUGAUUGCUAGUUGUCGGCAGGCAUGCCUGUCGGUGACGCAGCUAACGCAUUAAGCAAUCCGCCUGGGGAGUACGGUCNCAAGAUAAAACUCAAUGAAUUGACGGGGUCAUAGCUG